Molecule: ribosomal RNA, 497 nt
Filed under: uncultured bacterium
Lineage: Bacteria
Description: partial 16S ribosomal RNA
Rfam family: Bacterial small subunit ribosomal RNA
Source: RNAcentral
GAUGAACGCUGGCGGCGUGCCUAAUACAUGCAAGUCGAGCGAACGGACGAGAAGCUUGCUUUUCUGAUGUUAGCGGCGGACGGGUGAGUAACACGUGGAUAACCUACCUAUAAGACUGGGAUAAAUUCGGGAAACCGGAGCUAAUACCGGAUAAUAUUUUGAACCGCAUGGUUCAAAAGUGAAAGACGGUCUUGUUGUCACUUAUAGAUGGAUCCGCGCUGCAUUAGCUAGUUGGUAAGGUAACGGCUUACCAAGGCAACGAUGCCUAGCCGACCUGAGAGGGUGAUCGGCCACACUGGAACUGAGACACGGUCCAGACUCCUACGGGAGGCAGCAGUAGGGAAUCUUCCGCAAUGGGCGAAAGCCUGACGGAGCAACGCCGCGUGAGUGAUGAAGGUCUUCGGAUCGUAAAACUCUGUUAUUAGGGAAGAACAUAUGUGUAAGUAACUGUGCACAUCUUGACGGUACCUAAUCAGAAAGCCACGGCUAACUACGUG